GAUAGUACCAAAUGCUUUAUGCUA
RNAcentral lists this microRNA (24 nucleotides) under Ananas comosus (pineapple). RNAcentral's name for it is "microRNA s0396_c45a". Lineage: Eukaryota; Viridiplantae; Streptophyta; Magnoliopsida; Poales; Bromeliaceae. The record is from RNAcentral.